Molecule: RNA transcript, 765 nt
Organism: Lagopus leucura (white-tailed ptarmigan)
Lineage: Eukaryota; Metazoa; Chordata; Aves; Galliformes; Phasianidae
Gene name: WD repeat-containing protein 27-like
Exons: 8
Source: RefSeq, a predicted model, not a curated record
UGUAUCUUCAGCUUAAGCAGUGAUCAUAGUUACCGUUGUGUGGCACAUACUGACUUAAAGAAAGAGCAAGAGAAAUUCUAUAAUAAAAUCUGGAAAUCUGAAGAAGAAUUAGAUGCUGUGCCCAGAAUAGAAGCUAUUUUUGGAUAGGAACCUCUACUGGCUUAUCAUUAAUAAAUUUAGCAAACUUGGAACUGGAAGCGUUUUUAUGUUACAAAGAUUACAGUGGCCUCAGCGUUCGAUUUGCUAGAUUGUGUUCAUUAAUGAAGAAAGCAGUUAAUGGAAAGUGUAAUUAUUGCAGGUUUUAUGCUUGAUCACUUCAAUGUUUGAAGACAUCAUUGCUGUGUUGGAAGUUAACCCUGCUUUGUUGAUGACAUCUCAGCAGAGUGGUGUUCUUAAAAGUGGAAAUGAAGGGAGUCUAUCAGUCAUUGCCAGGUGUUCUCUGUUGCCAACAUCUCCAUUGUGUGAAAAUUUAAAUAAAAAUAAAAAACGUCCGAGUAAAACACAUGGAGUGAAAAGCACCGUGAAAGAUCAACCACUGGUUUUUCAUAAUGAAAUUAAGGUUAUACAGCUGCACCACAAAUGGCCAUGUUUUCUCCAAAUACUAAACUGAAGAAAAAUAAUAUAUUGAAUUGCAAGACCAGUUUUGAAGGAAACAACAUUCAGUUCUCACAUAUGGAACUAAAACACACUGUAAAUUUGCUGUAAAAUGAUUGUAGCAAGUGAUUCAGAUCUUCAUCUGCAAUUCUAAUAAGAAAAAUAGCUGAA